GACAGAGGGUGCAAACGUUGUUCGGAAUUACUGGGCGUAAAGCGCGUGUAGGCGGCUCGGAAAGUCGGGUGUGAAAGCCCUGGGCUUAACCCAGGAAGUGCACUCGAAACUUCCGAGCUGGAGUCCUGGAGAGGAAGGCGGAAUUCUCGGUGUAGAGGUGAAAUUCGUAGAUAUCGAGAGGAACACCGGUGGCGAAGGCGGCCUUCUGGACAGUGACUGACGCUGAGGCGCGAAAGCGUGGGGAGCAAACAGG
This 253-nucleotide ribosomal RNA is filed under the name uncultured bacterium. RNAcentral's name for it is "partial 16S ribosomal RNA". It matches the Rfam family "Bacterial small subunit ribosomal RNA", at positions 524 to 776 of the family's 1533-position model. The record is from RNAcentral.